Non-coding RNA from Camellia sinensis, 627 nucleotides. Lineage: Eukaryota; Viridiplantae; Streptophyta; Magnoliopsida; Ericales; Theaceae. The record is from RefSeq and is a predicted model, not a curated record.
UCCGGAUCUUCUGCCAUACAUUCCUGCCAUACAUUCCUGCAGUGCUAUACAAAACGACGUCGUCUUGGCGUUAAAUUCAAAUUUUUUUUUUUUUUUCCAUUUCUCUCUCAAUCGUUGAGACAGCCCUAACCCUUCAAGAGUGAGCCGACUCGAACGGUUCCUCUGACGCAGAGGAGGGUGAGCAACGACGACUCCGGAGGCGACAGCGGCUGCAGCUGGGCGAGGGUUGCAGCCCAACAAAGUGUACUAUUUAUCAAUGUGGAGUUCUAUACCAGCAAUGAGUAAUGUGUCCUACAAAUGCAACACAAAGAAGUGAUGGAAUUAUAGGAGAAAGAGUUGUGCUAUUGCAAAGUGAACUUGUAAGAAUCUGAGAGUGUUAGUGGACAACUUUGAUUUUUGACCACGAAGAUGCAACAAGCAAUAAACCUUUGAAUGUGUAAUUGGUGUUACUUGUAAUUGCUAUUAUUUUAAUUAUGAAGUAACUACGUUUCAAUGUUGUAAUUGACUAGUUUGAUUUUUGGAAUGGUUGGGAAUAUAGAACUUUUGAAAUUUGUGAAAUUUGAAAUGCUGUUGCUAUUAUUGAAAUAGUUGGGAAUUUAGAGAUUUCGAAAAAUGUUAAUUUUGAAA